CCUACGGGAGGCAGCAGUGGGGAAUAUUGGGCAAUGGAGGAAACUCUGAUCCAGCAACGCCGCGUGAAUGAUGAAGGUCUUCGGAUUGUAAAGUUCUUUUCUAAGGGACGAAGAAAGUGACGGUACCUUAGGAAUAAGUCUCGGCUAACUACGUGCCAGCAGCCGCGGUAAUACGUAGGAGGCGAGCGUUAUCCGGACUGACUGGGCGUAAAGGGUGCGUAGGUGGUUUGGCAAGUUAGUAGCGAAACUCCAAGGCUCAACCUUGGAACUGCUGCUGAAACGGUUGGACUUGAGUGCGGGAGGGGCAAGCGGAAUGCCUGGUGUAGCGGUGGAAUGCGUAGAUAUUAGGAGGAACACCAGUGGCGAAGGCGGGUUGCUGGACUGUAACUGACGCUGAGGCACGAAAGCGUGGGGAGCAAACAGGAUUAGAUACCCGAGUAGUC
RNAcentral lists this ribosomal RNA (443 nucleotides) under uncultured bacterium. Its description in RNAcentral is "partial 16S ribosomal RNA". It matches the Rfam family "Bacterial small subunit ribosomal RNA", at positions 338 to 795 of the family's 1533-position model. The record is from RNAcentral.